RNAcentral lists this non-coding RNA (587 nucleotides) under Pongo abelii (Sumatran orangutan). The record is from RNAcentral. Lineage: Eukaryota; Metazoa; Chordata; Mammalia; Primates; Hominidae.
CCUUGACGGCUGAGCGACACUGGGUCUGAGGUGUAAGCGCUUUCCAGGCCCUUCCCUGGGGCUUGGAGGGGAAUGGCGCAAAGGACUUUUCUGACAAGCAGAGCCACUGCAGUUACCAAAGAGUAUGUCGCUUAUUGUCUAAGGGGUUGGACUCCUGAAAACCUGGACAGUGUCAUCAUCUUCACCUGAAGAGUGGAAAAAUUCAAGCAAAGAAUUUCUCAGGAAAUGACCAAGUAAAACAUCUGGAGUAAGUCAGCAGGAUUCAAAGUGACUCCCCCGAACCACCUGGUGGUGUUUCUCUCUGAAAGCAGCACUUGGUACCAGUGUGAACUCUCCUCCUUCAGAAGUCCCAUCAGGUGUUUCAGGUGAGUUCUCCUGAAUUUGGACCUCCCACUCUUGGGUUGAAGGUGGACGUAAUAUGAGGGUCUGGUCCCCCAUACCUUGAGGACUCUGCUGCCAUCUGACAAUUAGAGACAAUCCAAUUGUCCUCAUCCUUGAGGACUCUGCUGCCAUCUGACAAUUAGAGACAGUCCAAAACAUGCCACACUUUGAUCCUAAACACAUUCCUGGCUUUGGUCACUUUUGAA